This is a long non-coding RNA of Synchiropus splendidus (mandarinfish), 2040 nucleotides long. RefSeq lists it as uncharacterized. Lineage: Eukaryota; Metazoa; Chordata; Actinopteri; Syngnathiformes; Callionymidae. The transcript has 3 exons. The record is from RefSeq and is a predicted model, not a curated record.
GAGAAGCUCAACUCUUAUGAAUGCUUGUGUCCCAACCCACUUCCACAAGUGCUUAUUCAACCCCUGUUCUCCUUUUCCUUCAAUAGACGAUUCAGCGAUUCACCAGCAACUCACGACUGGCGGCUGAAGCUCGAGUCAGACUCCACAACGUAGUCCCUCAACCUCUCCUGCUCCUGUGUACCUCCUUGACUGUUCUGUGCCCCGUUUUCUUCAGUCUCUUUCUGCCGAUACAUCGGGGCCGAUUCGGUGGAACGGCAUGGCGUCAAUCUGAUCAGCCGAUCAAAAUUACUACACACCAUAAGGAACGGAUAAACCAGGAACAGACCUGGAUGGAGAAUACAUUUAGCUGUAGUGGGGGCAAAACAUUUCUGAAAUUUGACGGAAUUUAAGCGCAGGGUUAUCCAACACGUUCUCCAGCCUUGACUAUGUUCUCCUGGGAAAAAAAAACAAAAAUCGUCGCCAGUUGUUGUUCACUUUGGAAAUAUCUUUGGCACGUCUUUCGUGAGCUGCCACAAGCUAUGAACGUGUCAGAACACAUCGGAAGGCUCUGAGUCUGAGGUGCUACGAACAGAACAAGAUUCAAGGUCUCCUUCUAUUCCUCGACGUCACGUGCCCCAUGCACUGACCAGAGCUUCAGAACCAACUCCACAUCAGGCCAGACGGAGGAGUCAAACUCUGAUUUGCCAGUGUCCAGGCAGUGCCGGGGAAAACCUGGGCUUGCAAGAAUGGGGUCCAUGUUGGGACGAGUCAGGUCUCACCAAAAGCCCUUCUGACAAGACUCCUUUGGCUCAAAGGCGCAGCACCACAGAGAUUAACCCACUGCCCUCUCACCCACAAGCGUCUUCAGCAGUGACACUCCAUCAUGGCCAGUCUCCUGCAUAACAGUUUAAAAACCGGACCCCGCAUGGAUCAAGUCCCUCACCAGUGCAACAAGCUGCUCAGUCCAGUUUUUUUUUGUUGUUGUUUUGACACAAUAGCGCGGCAGUGGACCGACACAGUUCUGUGGCUUUGACUCCAGAGUCCACAGACCUUUCCAGAGAGAUGACCUCAGCUGUUUGCAACGUCUCUGUGUUUUCCAAAACUCCAUCAGAGCCUGUUCUGCAUCACCACACGGACAAAAGCUGCAGAAACCAAACCCUUUUGUGACAGAAUCAGAGAACAAUGUACCUUCUGUUCGCUCUCAUCUGCCUAAACAUCACAGGGCCAUCAGUACCUACACACAAUGUGGAGUUAACUCCUGCCAUGUGCACGUGUGGCAUGACUGCGCUGGUUUUAGUCGAAUAGCUAGAUAGCAUGAGCAUGCUAAUGGUUGGAUUUUCCGACUGAGUAAAGUCAAAUUCAAUUCAAAUUUCAAUAGUUCCAGAGCUGAAAACAAUGUGACAAUGUGGCGGUUGUUCCCAAGUGGCGUCUUGGAGCACAUCCUUUAUACAAGCUUCCCGCCCAACCCCUCCACCAUAACAGCGCUGGUUCUAAUCUACAGCGUCCACAGGGGACGGAUGAUGAGAGAUUACAGCCGCCGACCACGCCUCCAGUCACUUCAAACAUAAACGCCACAGAAACGGCUUAUGAUGGUCCCGUUGGUGCUCGUGAUUCAAACGUCGAGCUAAGUCCGAGCCAGAGACUCGUCAACUCACGGUGGCGGCAGGAGCAACCCCGAGCAGCAGCGACGGUCCUCGGAUGGCUGGAUCACAGCUCCCGCCCGCCUGCAUCGUCCUGCCCGCAGCUCUCCCUGAACUCUCUGGACGAGCGGCGGCGGCUCGCGCCCGCUUCCCUCGUUGUUAAAGCGACGCACCGAGUGUCGCAGCUGAGCCGGACCCGACUAAUCACAACAGCGUCGAGAAGGCUCGUCAUGAAUAUUACAUUCUCAACGCGAAAAUAGCAGUCGAGCUGCGUUUCUCUGGAGACGCGACCGACUUCAGAGGCUUUACGUCAAGUGUUUCUUCGUCAUAGUUUGAGAUGCGCGACAACAUAAUAGAAUCUCAGCUCGAAACGCUAUUGAAAUAAUAAAUAAAUAAUAACAAAACUAUCCUCAAAUCAUAA